This 1120-nucleotide ribosomal RNA is filed under the name marine metagenome. RNAcentral's name for it is "bacterial SSU rRNA". It matches the Rfam family "Bacterial small subunit ribosomal RNA", at positions 8 to 1124 of the family's 1533-position model. The record is from RNAcentral.
AGAGUUUGAUCAUGGCUCAGAUUGAACGCUGGCGGUAGGCUUAACACAUGCAAGUCGUGCGAGAAAGUAUCUUCGGAUAUGAGUAGAGCGGCGGACGGGUGAGUAACGCGUAGGAAUCUACCUAGUAGAAGGGGAUAGCCCGGGGAAACCCGGAUUAAUACCGUAUACCUCCUUCGGGAGAAAGAAGGCCUCUCUUUGAAGCUUUCGCUACUAGAUGAGCCUGCGUAAGAUUAGCUUGUUGGUGAGGUAAAGGCUCACCAAGGCGACGAUCUUUAGCUGGUCUGAGAGGACGAUCAGCCACAUUGGGACUGAGACACGGCCCAGACUCCUACGGGAGGCAGCAGUGGGGAAUAUUGGACAAUGGGCGCAAGCCUGAUCCAGCCAUACCGCGUGUGUGAAGAAGGCCUUCGGGUUGUAAAGCACUUUAAGCAGGGAGAAAAAGUUAUAAGUUAAUACCUUAUAACCCUGAUGUUACCUGCAGAAUAAGCACCGGCUAAUUCCGUGCCAGCAGCCGCGGUAAUACGGAAGGUGCAAGCGUUAAUCGGAAUUACUGGGCGUAAAGCGCGCGUAGGUGGUUUGUUAAGUUGGAUGUGAAAGCCCUGGGCUCAACCUAGGAACUGCAUCCAAAACUAACUCACUAGAGUACGAUAGAGGGAGGUAGAAUUCAUAGUGUAGCGGUGGAAUGCGUAGAUAUUAUGAAGAAUACCAGUGGCGAAGGCGGCCUCCUGGAUCUGUACUGACACUGAGGUGCGAAAGCGUGGGUAGCGAACAGGAUUAGAUACCCUGGUAGUCCACGCCGUAAACGAUGACAACUAGCUGUUGGGAGACUAUGUCUUUCAGUGGCGCAGCUAACGCUUUAAGUUGUCCGCCUGGGGAGUACGGCCGCAAGGCUAAAACUCAAAUGAAUUGACGGGGACCCGCACAAGCGGUGGAGCAUGUGGUUUAAUUCGAUGCAACGCGAAAAACCUUACCUACUCUUGACAUACUUGGAGGCUCUUGUAAUGAGAGUGUGCCUUUUGGAACCAAGAUACAGGUGCUGCAUGGCUGUCGUCAGCUCGUGUCGUGAGAUGUUCCGUUAAGUCGGAUAACGAGCGCAACCCUUACCCUUAUUUGCCAGCGA